GGGUUUAAGCGACAUUUUUAUGCUUGUUCAAUAAGCAAAAUAUAAAGUAAGCAAUUAUUGCACAUGCACCUGUGGAACAGUCCUUUAGACAUUUACAGUUUUGCAGGUGCCAGGCAAUAAAGGUCACAGUUAUUAAUAAUUCUGGACAGUAAAGAGACCUUUCUAGUGAUUCUGAAUAACACUGGGUUCCUUAACAUGCCAUAGUCCUGCUGCAGGGAGACAUAAGGACUGCAGAUGUGGCCAGAGCUAUAAACUGCAAUGUCCGUAGUGUAAGAAAAGGAAAAGCUGCUUGUCCUUGUAGUAACUCUGUGUCCCUCAAGACAUGUCCAGAAACUUGCGAGCACCUUGGUGGAGGAAUGGCAUACCAUCUCGGAGUUGCUGAAUCUUUUAGGUGUGUGCAAAUAUUACAUGUUAAGAAACUUGCUGGAAUUAAAAGCAGUUGAAAGUAAGAGGAUCUUAGAGUCUUAAACUUACAUAGAGCUAAAAGUCACCUUAAGAUUUUUAUAGAGCACAACAUUACUUUUGCACAAAACCAGCCCUGAAACUUUUGCCUUUAUUUAAUACUAGACUGAUUCACGCAAACCAGAGUCUGGGUUGUCUGCUUGCAAGUAAAUAUGAUUUUACUUAAUUUCUGAAGAAACAACUAGUAACUCAAUGGGCACAGACUUCAAUUAAAACACUUUAUUUUUGACACUUAAAAUCUGUUUUCUUUGUCAAAAAGCACAAUACAAACUAUAGCAGGCUAUACUAGGUCUCUAGAACUUAGGUUUUAGGUUAGGCUUCUUUCCUUUGGGAGUAAGACUCCUCAAGACAGUCAAUGGUUUGUUCAGCAGCAGCUCCAGACCUUCUCUCUUGGACCUCCGAGGGGAACAGCAGUCUUUUAAGCCAUCUUGCAGCUUUCUAGCAGAGCCGUUUCUGUUGCUUGUGGAAUUUGAAGAUGUCGGUGAAGCCAAGGAAUCCACGGGCGCUCUCGUUUCUUUACACCGUCCCCGUUUAUGGAACAAGGACUCUCUCCGGUUGACGCUGGGGCUGGCAGCCAAGGUCCGGAAGCCAUAAGGUGUGGUGACCUUUCCAACGUGUUCCAGAGACAUGGCUGCACACGUCGAAGGGUCUGAGAGAUCCUCUGUGGAAGAUUUCUGCAGACGUUUCAGCUUCAUCCGAGGGGUGAAACGAAAUUUGGCGGAAAUGCUUGGCGAGCCAGUGGGAGGCUGAUGUCCAGGAGACUGACGUCCAGGAGACUCUUCUUCUGGGCUUUCUGGAGAUAAAAGCUUAUACGUGUCCUCAUCUUUUCCUUUCUGGCAACACAGCCGAGGAGACAUGGAUAACUUGGGAGGAAGAGUAAAUUUUGGGAUUCUUCCAGGGGUUAGGGGUAGAAUUUGUCUGGAGAACCCUUUGGGUGUCAUGAUGUUCUCCAAACUGGCCGCUCCACAAGCAAACAUUUCUCAAACUUUACAGACAAAAACAACUGGCUUCUCGGAUUCUCCUACAAGCUACCGAGCAUUUAUUCACAAGAGGUCUCGUUAACUUGUUAAAUGUUUCUCAUGAGUAGCAGGUGAACAUCAUUAGAGUUUCACACUUGAUUGGCUGACAGCAAAUUCCACUCAAAUCGUUUUUUAGUGUUAAAAUAUACUCUUGUAUUGUGUCUCUUCUAUAUAUGUUAAUAAAUAAAUACAAGAAAAGACUACUAGAUUGAUUCCCCGUGCAACACAGCAAGGUUGUCCCAAAUGGUGGGGUUAUCAGUGUUUUUGAAAACAAAUGUUUGUAAACAAUUAUUAUUCUUAUUAUUUCGUUGAAACUAGUGGUGCAGAAAUUACACAUUUACCUGUAAUUUGCUAAGUCCGAGGGUUCGGCAAACUUUAUUAAUAUAAGCAAACACUUUCUUUAAAAACAUAAAAUAAAAGUGCACAGCUAGUUCCGGCCAGGUUUUGAUCGCGUUGCAGAUUCAUAUCACUGCGCCAAAUUAUUUUCAGGUGUUUCAGAUACCCUUC
Cyprinus carpio carpio is the source of this 1988-nucleotide long non-coding RNA. NCBI's taxonomy places the organism in Eukaryota, Metazoa, Chordata, Actinopteri, Cypriniformes, Cyprinidae. The record is from Ensembl.